CAACAAAAGACUGCCUAGAGAAAGGUAAAUAAUUUUCAAAUUGUUUCUGUAACACAAGAAAAAAUUAUUGCUAAGUAUUUUUUUUUUUGCAGUGACUUACACUAAGCUGACUCAAUUGUAAUGAAAGCUUUUUAAAGAAUGUUUCUUUUAUCUUUGGGAGAACCAUACUUGUGUGUGAGGAAAGUUAUUUCACAGGUUUUCAUCUACUGAAAUUAAUUAGAUCUUGUAAAGUUUAUACCAGAACUUUCAGUGUCUCUCUUCCUCUCUAAUUUUCUUAUGUAGUUCUUAUAGUCUACAGGAAGCUCCUGACCAUUUUAAUAAGCUAUUAGUAAGGUAGUACCAACCCCCCUUUGGCUGUGAAGAUGUAAUGAUUUGCAAUAGAUAAGUGGUCAUUAGAAGUAAGUUAUGGUGUGAUUUGUCGGAAAUUUCCUGUUGCAAACAGCAGACCGAGUGCAAAAAUUAUUCCGGUUAAUGUUUUUGUAUGAAAAAGCAUGGUUCUCUGCGCCAACAGAGGAAUUGUCCUCCAUUCAGCAGAGAUUUUGUGAUUUUUCACCUCGUUGUAUUUGUGAAAUCAAAGCUACAGUUUCUGCUGAACUGGUGGGUAAUUAGAUGUGGUACGUAAUAUUCCUUGACACUUGUUUGUUUUUAAAAAAAUCAGUCCGUAAAAAUUGCUUCUCCAUUUUUGCAUUUUUACUUCUCUUCCAGUCAUAGCUAAAUCUGUGGUUGCUCGUCAUACCAUAAUGAAAAAUCACUUAGCAGCUCAAGUGAAUGACUUUCAUUGAUAACAACAAGGGGGCUUGUUCACUGUCACUGAAGUACUUGUAACAAAUCUCUUCUAUACUUCAGGGGGAGCUUUGGGUAUGCAAGAGGCAUAGAGCUAAUUUCUAACGAUGGCUAUACUCAGCAUAUUUCAUGUCUUUGAAGAUGGCUUCUGCCAAAAUCGUUUUGUGAACUUAGAAACCAAUGUGGUACCGUUGGCCUUGCACUGUGUAUGACUGCUUGAGAUGUUGAAUGCAUAUGUCUAUGCUGCAUAAUGAAGGGUUGUGUUGAGAGACAUCUGUACUAGCUCAGAUAAACAGAGUAGUAUAUGUUUGUAAGUAGAGUAUGCAGGAAGGACAGCCAUAUUGAUAAGGCAGUCAGGUCUAAUAAAGCUGAACGAGGUCAUGAAAUGACAGUAACCCUUUGUCACAUAGGGAUAGUAUAUCUCCAUGAAGUCAUAGUAUUAUUUAUUUAUAUAGUAAGUAUCAGGCACAGGAUUUUCUGCCUUAAGUUUAUAUAGUACGGAAGCUUAAUGAACUACAAACUCAUUCCAUUGUAAUUAUAUUCUUACACAUUGGUAUAAAAGCUGCCUUUAGAUGAAAAUCCUCACUUUCCAGUUUAGCAUAUUCAUCAUGGUUUUUUUUUUUGUUUUUCUUUUUAGAGUAGAAUGUGUACAAUGCAGCUACAAGAGAGUUUGAAACAGGUGUACAAAACAGUGAAAAAGGAUGACAUGAGGAACUUUUGCUUGUUCACUGAGAGUAAACCUCCUAACUUUUGAAAGACCAACAAUGAUCACACCAAACAGAAACCUGCAUUUUGCAUCUUACCUGAAAAAAAUAUAAAUUUUGGUGCUUCCAGUACCAUAGCGUAAUACUGGUUCAGUGUAUUCUCUACAUACUCUUCUUCAGUUCUUCUAGACUUUUUCAUCACUUGCUGGGUUAGAGCUUUACAUAGCUAAAGUUUUAUUUCCCAGUCUACUGAGCCAUGCUGAGGAGAAAGCUAAUAGAAUAAAUCACAAGAGAGAGGUGUCAGUCUAUUUAUAAGGCUUCUUAGCUGAUAAUUGGAUGGGUGUCCAGACACAUCUUGACAUUGUAUUGACAUAAGACCCAGGUAAGUAACGUCCUUCCUGCACCUUCUUAUCUUGUGUCCACUCUAAUAGCCCCUGGAAGCAAAGAGGCUGGCAGCAAGGGUAGAUUCGUAACUCUGCAAAUUUAGGCAACUGGCAAUGGUUUACUUUCCGGAGCAUUCUUGCCUUGUGAUUUAGACACAAACAUAGGUACCGACAUAGCUAUAGAGCAACAACUGGAGCUGAAACCACAUUUGACUAGUAAUUGCUUAUUCUAUGUAGGUGUGAAAUACCUGCAGAGUUCUCAGCGGGUUCAGGGAAUAUACUGUGUUUCAGAAACAUUAUUCUUUUGGGUCUUCGAAGUCAAACUGCAUCCCAGUUUGCAGUUUAUGAGAAACUUGAAAAUACUGGUACUAAAUGGGAAAUCUAUCCAUAACUACACGACAGAAGGCACUCCAUUAGACACAAAUACUUGCUUUUCCCUCUGCUAUAUCUGCUCUAUUUGUCUCCUGAACAAUUAAACCUAACAAGAUCAGUGAAUCAGUACUAGCAGGUCAGAACAGGAUAGUUUGUUUAGAUUUCUGGUAGGUGAUGAAGUGCUCUGUUGUGUGUGAGGGAGGAACUUGGUUUUUUUCCCUCUGAGGGUGGUGGUGGUGAAGUAUAUAAAGACAUAGCUGAUACCAGAAAUGCAAGUCAGGGCACAAUUAGUAAUAUAAUUGCACCAUAGUAGCAAUAAUUAUUAUAAUUACUUUUAUUUACAUAAAUUUAAUUCUGUGCUAAAUCCUGUAAUUAAUGUUAUGGAGACAUUGUGAUCUGUGGCUUGUGAAGUGAAAGAUGAUUCAAAUAGAGUUUUCCCCUUGCAGGGUGAACAGUAACUUCCUUUUUGAAGCUAAGAAAUGUGGUUUUACGCUUUAAAUUACAACAAUCAAUUUCUUGAAAAGACUCAGACAAGUCUAGGAACAUAUGGAAGGCACUGCCUCCUCUGGGCACUGUUUAGUAUUCACCAAGAGCAAAGGAGAGAGAAGUCUGCUCAACUGCAUCUGGAGUCUAACUGAUCGCUGCUUGGAGUCAAAACAUAGCACCUGGCAAUAACAGGCUCAAGCCAGAGUCUGAAGGGUGAAGUCCCCAGCAGUGGGUACAAGGACAGGAAGAUGAAAUGGCAGUAUGGAAAGGGAAUGGCACAGCACCUACUGCUUCUGUUGGGGGUGGAAUUACAGAGGAGUUGCAGCUCUUUACUAGAGGCUGCCAGGUAGUGGGACUUGGAACAACUAGUGAGAAACUAAAUAAUGAAGAGAAGCAAAGGUUUGGGGCUAGAAGUGGUGUUGCUGUUUAGAGGACAGGAAGCUCUUCUUAAGGAAUAAUGAGCUGGAGGAUUUGGGGGCAAGUAUACUGAGAAAGGAGGGUUGGGUAAUGUGGGGGAUGGAUGAUGUCUUGGGAGAUGAAAACCAGGAAAACUGCUGAUAUUUUAUCUUGGCAGUCUGUCAUGCCUAUCCUUUGAUUUCUGGUAACCCCACACUGAUUUGGAGCAUAUGCCAUAAAGAAUAGGAAGGAAAUAGCAUACAAGGUCCCCUACAGUGUGGGGAAAACAUGGCCUGGGCACAUGAGAAAUUUUCUAAGUUGGAAUAUGUCACUGAGGUGGGAUGAUACAUAUAUGCUGUAGUAUGUGCUGCAAUGUGACCAAUACACUGACCAAAGAGGCUCCCACUGGUGUGGACAGCAAGCAUGUGCUGAGGCAAUGCCCCAGCCCAGGUGGUGUGCUUGGAGCCAUUAGCUCUAAUAAUUAACUUUACAACUUCUCUCAGCUGGGUCCAGGUGGCUAACAGGGCUGAGGGAGGAUUUGCAGGGCCAGGAAACAAUUUGCUUUAAAAAGUUCAAAUAUAUAAACCUGAUGAAGAUAUGCCAUCAAUAGAUUGAAUAAGCACUCUAAGGGUGUUUAUAACAACAGAUGGUUUCUGUAGGGUUUUACUGGCUUCUUGCUGCUACUCAUACUUCUGCUAGGACUAAGCAUGAGUCAAAGACUGCUACCUGAAGGCUUUUGAGGAAACUGCCUGGCUUUGGAAAGGGAGUGACUGGAGUCUGCAUCACACUAGGAAAUCUUGGAGAGGAGGUUGACCUGCUUUGGACUUCUAUGUAGAUUUGAGCUAACAAAGAGGGUGAACAUCCAGCAAGGCCACAUGGCACCCUCGCUGGUGACAGGCUGCAUCUGAAUGGUCCUAGAGAAGAGUGCAUAACCUUUGAGCACUGAUGACCCAGUGAAACCUCUCCCAUCAUAAGGCUCCUCCUGCCAGGUAAGCCAGGUUGUCCACAGGACCCUGACAUGAGUUUUGGCCACUGCUAACUGCGGUCACUGUUAAUCUCUUUGUAUUGUUUUCUUUCUCUUGGUUGUCACCAUGUUUAAAACGUUUAUUUCUGGAUGGAUCAUCAGUUUAAUAGCACACAUGCUGGCAGCCAGAAUGGGGGAGAGUGGUGGUAUUUUGCUGAUCAGUCAAUUAGUCCAUCUUCCAGCUUACAAUGAAGAAAACAGUUGAGCACCUACAACAGGGAUCUUACGUCAGCUGUGUGCUUUCAGGAUCUUGUACCUUCAGGCUCUUGUGACUGACUUGACUUAAUCAUUUAUGCACUGCUAAAGAGCCGCUUGCUGGUGCUUCCUGCUAAUAAUGCACGUUUGAUUAGCAAAACUUCAGGCCGUCCUUUGUGUCAGAACAUCUCCUUAUACCCAUGUGUGAAGUUCAGUGGCACAUUUUGGGGAAACACAUAGAAAUCCUGCAGCAGCACUGUGGAUACUGCACGUGACCGGGGUGGGAAACAGAUGCUUUUAUUUUAGUGGAAGUGUAAUGAUUUUACUUGUAGCUUGUACAUAGCAAAGUAUGUUGAGAUUAAGAAAUACCCUCUGGGGGUAGGUGGAGGGAAGGCAUUCUUCCCUUCAUUUCUUCUCUUAAGCCUUAACUGGUGCCUUGGAGUAUGAAACGGCAGCUGAAAUUCGGUGUGUUUGUGGUGACGAAAAUCAAAUGAACAAAAGUUCUCAACUUGGUGCUUAGCCAUUGCAGAAUUUCAUACCAUAGAAAUCACACUGUCAUGGAUUGCAACUUGUCAGGAAGAUUUUGUAUACUGACUGCAACUGACCUCAGAUAUGGGACACAUAAGACACUGAAAGGGUUUUGGUGGGGUGGUGAGGUUUAUUUGUUGUUGUACAUUAAAAUAGCAGGAGUCAGAGGAAAUAUUAACCCAUUUGUGUCAAUUUCACCCUCAGCUGUCAAACACUAGGUGUGCUUGCUGCCUGGAAGAAUGACACAGCCUUAGGAGAACUGCAAGGAGGCUAAAAAGGAGGAAAAGAAGAGCAUGUGUUGGUUGGGAGGGCUUAUGAAAAUUCCCGCUAAGCAAAUGCUUCAGUGAUGAAAAAGAGGAGAGGUGCCUCUGCCUGUCCUCUCCUCCCCUUCCCGCUCAAGGAGUACUGGUGCUUUUUGCCUUUUAAAUCUCACUAAUGUUGCUGGGGCUUGAAUUUGGCCUUUAAACUUCUAAAAUCCUCUUUGGUGGUGUUCCCCUGUGAACAAGGCAAUGGUUUCUUCCGUGCUUCACUUUUUAGCAAUUGGGAAUUCCCUGGUUGUGAUCCCAGCUGGAACCAGUGCUAUGCUUGGAUGCUGCUGAAACCUGCACCACUGUACCUUGUGCACUUAGAGCCAGGUUUGAAUGAAGCAGCAAAAGAAGAGAACGUGGGUUACUUUGUAAUGGGGAAUCCUAAACCACUCUGGGCUGGAAGUCAUAGUGUAUCAUACCAUGCACUGGAGAGGCACAUGCUUGUUUGUACAUAGACAGAGCACACCCCCUUUUUUUAUUUUAUUUUAUUUCCUGAAGGACCCACACUCUGGCUUCUAGUUUGUUUGGCUCUGUUGCUAUAUUGUUACUUCCUUUCUUUUCCUUAGGAAAUCCACGCACUUUCCUUGAUGUAACUUUCUGUGCUUUGUGUUGAUACAUUUCCUAUUCUGUUAGUUUCUUACCAAUGACCUCAAAUCUCCCCGUUUCCCAGGUGCUCCCUCACUGGGGCAAUGGAAUCACUGCCUCUCCUUUGCCAGCACAGAGGGUACUGGGAUCCUGCCUUGAGGUCUGCAAGGACUGAUGUCCCUCCAAAAGGUCCCUUCAUCUUCUCUGCUACACAUACAAGCAACAAGCUUCAGAAAAGAGAGCAGUUGGCCCAGGUGAGAGAUUCCAAUAUACUGGAAGCACAAUGAUGCUCAAAUGGCCAUUUCACAGCAGGUUGUGCUGGAGGCUGAGUGUUAGGAUUUGGCUUAGAGAUGUGUGGGAUGCCAGGGCGAGGAAACUGAGGCGCAGCCGGCCUGCGAAUCGCACUGUCCUAAACUCAUCUGAAGGAAAGGAAACUGGAGAAGAAAAUCUGACUUCUGGAGCUGCUUAGCACAGACUGUUCUUGCAGAGAUCAAUAAACUGAAGGAAUCUGGGGCCUAAGAAAACCAAGGGUCAGAAAACUGGUUAAAGUUCUCAAUGAGAAGAUUCGCAGGUAUGUUAACAGAAUGCAGACAUCCUUGUUCUGCACCUUAAACUUUUAAUGGCAACCAUCCUUGCAUGCAUAAGAAGGUUGCAUGACUCCUUCAUUUUCAGAGGAAUGAGCAAAAAAUAAGAAACUUUCCAGGUCAUUAUUUUGCUGCCUAUUCUUAGAAUGAAUGCAAGAUAAUUCAUGAGGUCUGCAACCUCAGAUGUUUAUCUAAGUUCAGUUCCUGGUCAGUUUGUUCUUGGUACAGAUGUUGAAAGCUGAACUGAUUAAAAAACCCACAAAAAACCAACCCCUAAUCCCCCUCAGCCCAAUGAAUGCUAUAAACCAGAUUUAUUUACUUUUAUCUCCUAGCAGCAACUCUAAUGAUCAAGUUUCACUGAAAGGCAGACCGACAGUUUUACAACUGCUAUGAGAUAUCCAUGGAAGCACACAGGUAGCAAAUGGUAAUUAAACUCACAGCUAUUAAAGAUCUCAUUAGAUGCCCAAACCCAAGAAACUCAUAAUCAUUAACACAACCAUCAGAAAAUUCUGCUCUUUGUGGAGACAGUAUCAUCACCUCUAAGUUUGCCAGCACUUAAAUGACCACUGGUCUCUUGGUUAAUCAACAUUUCUGGACACAUUUAUGCCUUUAACUUUGUUUUGAUAUUCAAGAUGUUUGAUACCACAUAUGGGAUCAGUGUGUAGGGACGCACUCUAAUAAAUACAGCUUUUGGUUGUAUAAACUC
Pezoporus occidentalis (night parrot) is the source of this 7054-nucleotide long non-coding RNA. RefSeq lists it as uncharacterized. NCBI's taxonomy places the organism in Eukaryota, Metazoa, Chordata, Aves, Psittaciformes, Psittacidae. The record is from RefSeq and is a predicted model, not a curated record. The transcript has 4 exons.